UGGGGAAUUUUGGACAAUGGGCGCAAGCCUGAUCCAGCCAUUCCGCGUGAGUGAAGAAGGCCUUCGGGUUGUAAAGCUCUUUCGGCGGGAACGAAAUCGGUGAGGCUAAUAACCUUACUGGAUGACGGUACCUGAAGAAGAAGCACCGGCUAACUACGUGCCAGCAGCCGCGGUAAUACGUAGGGUGCGAGCGUUAAUCGGAAUUACUGGGCGUAAAGCGUGCGCAGGCGGUUCGUUAAGACAGAUGUGAAAUCCCCGGGCUCAACCUGGGAACUGCGUUUGUGACUGGCGAGCUAGAGUGCGGCAGAGGGGGGUAGAAUUCCACGUGUAGCAGUGAAAUGCGUAGAGAUGUGGAGGAAUACCGAUGGCGAAGGCAGCCCCCUGGGUUGACACUGACGCUCAUGCACGAAAGCGUGGGGAGCAAACAGG
This 429-nucleotide ribosomal RNA is filed under the name uncultured bacterium. RNAcentral describes it as "bacterial SSU rRNA". It matches the Rfam family "Bacterial small subunit ribosomal RNA", at positions 355 to 776 of the family's 1533-position model. The record is from RNAcentral.